AUUGAACGCUGGCGGCAUGCUUUACACAUGCAAGUCGAACGGCAGCGCGGGCUUCGGCCUGGCGGCGAGUGGCGAACGGGUGAGUAAUGCAUCGGAACGUGCCCAGUAGUGGGGGAUAGCCCGGCGAAAGCCGGAUUAAUACCGCAUACGACCUGAGGGUGAAAGCGGGGGACCGAAAGGCCUCGCGCUAUUGGAGCGGCCGAUGUCGGAUUAGCUAGUUGGUGGGGUAAAGGCUUACCAAGGCGACGAUCCGUAGCUGGUCUGAGAGGACGACCAGCCACACUGGAACUGGGACACGGCCCAGACUCCUACGGGAGGAAGCAGUGGGGAAUUUUGGACAAUGGGGGCAACCCUGAUCCAGCCAUGCCGCGUGCGGGAAGAAGGCCUUCGGGUUGUAAACCGCUUUUGUUGGGGAAGAAAUCCUCUGGGCUAAUACCCCGGGGGGAUGACGGUACCGGAAGAAUAAGCACCGGCUAACUACGUG
RNAcentral lists this ribosomal RNA (484 nucleotides) under uncultured bacterium. Its description in RNAcentral is "partial 16S ribosomal RNA". It matches the Rfam family "Bacterial small subunit ribosomal RNA", at positions 29 to 507 of the family's 1533-position model. The record is from RNAcentral.